CUCAGGUGACAUCAUGAAAGAAAAUGUCAGCUCAUGAAAAGGAAAGGCAAAUGAAUAUAACCGUGAGGGAUGAAAGACGACAAUUAAAAGGUCUGAUUGAGCACUGAGGAUCAAAUCAUCAACAUAAAACUUGGAGGAAAUCAGGUCGGAGGUGCUGUCGUGGUAAGGACCUACACAUGGGUGCGGAAGUGGUGGCUGGCUUGGAGUGGCUGCCUGCUUCGGAGCGGUAAGAGCCACAGGAUUUUCCAACGAGUGCCACAAACUUCAGCUAGUGCCCACUGCCAGGAUCUCUUUGAGCCAAAUCUGGAUCAAGAAUGUAAGGCAGUCAUGUUAAAGUUGUCUGAUGUGAACCCCUUAUCAGGAGCUUAGGCAUUGAAAAAAACUAAAUAGUAAUAAUCAGUGUUUCUGCUGAUGGUCUUGUGGAUGAAGCUACAUGAAGAAACAAAGUGAACAACAGCGCUUACUGCAUGGGCAGCAGUUGACUGAAAGCAAGUCAACAUGGUGGGAGACUUGAUUGCAUUCAUUUUAUUCCCAAAUCAAGACACUGGUUAGAAUUGCUUUACAUUGGUGUCAUGGAUGAUAAUAUUAAUGGCAUCAACUUGCAGCUGAAUAAGCAUUUUCCCUUUUAUGUCAACAUGUUAAAAACAGGAGCAAACAGUUGUUGGUAUUAAAGCUGACAGAGUUGAGCAGACUCACAUUUCAUUUGAGAACUGAGCCAUUUUCUCGAUGGUGGUGGUAUCCUGAAGAAGAUUCGGAUGGGAGACAAAAAUAAUACAAAUUUAAUUCAUCAUUUCAUUAAGUUCCUUCAUAGUGACUCGUGGCUUUGAUUUAAGUGUUAUAAAAGAACAGCUUAUAUGUAUCGUAGUUUGUCUGUCUUUUCUCUUAUGUAUGUGAUCGGAUUCUCUUGUAGAGAGUUCUAUGUACACACUUUUCCCCUAAAAAGACAGCUUCCUAUUUCCCAUCUCAUCAUGCAGGCUAAGUAUAGACUUCAAAUAUUUCAUAUUGUUGAUGAAAGCAUGCCAAUUGCUCUGGCUAUCAGACACUUGCAUGCACACUCACACUCUCUCACACACACAGCUUGGUCUAAGACUCUCUCUCCUGUUUCUCCUCUAUUGAUCUCAGCAUUACUGGCAUUGAUGUUUUAUUUUUGUGUCCUAUGAGGUGUUGUUCUUUCUGCAGCUUUGCGUGCUGCUGCUAGAUUGUUCUUGGAAGAUAUCAAUGGAAUAAACAAGCCAGAUGACACUGUAAAUAAGUAGCAUCACGCUUCUCUCAAGCAGUUAAAUCAGCUUUGAAAUAUCUUCAGGAAAUCACAAUCACGUUAAAAUGGAUGCUGUAAUCACUGCAGGAUGUGUCAUUUAAAAUGAGAUAGAUCAUCAUUAGUAAUUAUGUAGGACUCACAGAGAGGAUUCCCGUCAUCUGAGUGUAAAACAAGCUCGUCAUGCCACCAAACAUGACCAAACCCAUAAGGGCUGAGAUGCGCAGCAGAGCCAGUUCAUGGCGGGAUGUAAACUUCUCCUGGCAAAAGAAAACAGAACAAUGUUACAUUUGGUCUCAUGUUCUCAUAUUUACUCCUGAAGAUCUUUUUCAUUUGACAAUUUGAAUCUGAAAAGUGUUUCUGCUGGCUCAUACAGGAUGAUAUGAAGCAUUUUGUUUGGAUAUUUUACACUUUCAAAUAACUAAAUAAACACUGUAAAUACUCCAGUCCAAACACC
Long non-coding RNA from Notolabrus celidotus (New Zealand spotty), 1712 nucleotides. RefSeq lists it as uncharacterized. NCBI's taxonomy places the organism in Eukaryota, Metazoa, Chordata, Actinopteri, Labriformes, Labridae. The transcript has 2 exons. The record is from RefSeq and is a predicted model, not a curated record.